RNAcentral lists this ribosomal RNA (1289 nucleotides) under metagenome. RNAcentral describes it as "SSU rRNA". It matches the Rfam family "Eukaryotic small subunit ribosomal RNA", at positions 447 to 1777 of the family's 1831-position model. The record is from RNAcentral.
AAUCCCAACUCAGGGAGGUAGUGACAAGAAAUAGCAAUGCGGGGCUUCUUGCUCUGCAAUUGGAAUGAGAACAAUUUAAAUCACUUAACGAAUAUCAAUUGGAGGGCAAGUCUGGUGCCAGCAGCCGCGGUAAUUCCAGCUCCAAUAGCGUAUAUGUAAGUUGUUGCGAUUAAAAAGCCCGUAGCUGAACCUCGGGCAACCCUGACGGUCCGCGUUUCGUGAGUACUGUCGUGGGUUGUCUUUCUGGCAAGACCGUAUCUCGGUGUUAACUCGCCGGGAACGGCGCUUGCCAAGGUUACUUUGAGUAAAAUAGAGUGUUCAAAGCAAGCUCGCGCUCUGAAUACACUAGCAUGCGAUAACACGACAUGACCGAUGGUCUAUCUUGUUGGCCUGUAGACCUGUUGGUAAUGGCUAAUAGGGACGGUCGGGGGCAUUCGUAUUUCGCUGUCAGAGGUGAAAUUCUUGGAUUUGCGAAAGACGAACUACUGCGAAAGCAUUUGCCAAGGACGCUUUCAUUAGUCAAGGACGAAAGUCGGGGGAUCGAAGACGAUUAGAUACCGUCGUAGUCUCGACCAUAAACGAUGCCAAUUAGGGAUUGGAGGGUGGAUCCAAUAUGCCUCCUCCAGCACCUUCCGCGAAAGCAAAAUUUAUGGGCUUCGGGGGGAGUAUGGUCGCAAGGCUGAAACUUAAAGGAAUUGACGGAACGGCACCACCAGGCGUGGAGCCUGCGGCUUAAUUUGACCCAACACGGGAAAACUUACCAGGUCCAGACAAGAUUAGGAUUUACAGAUUGAUAGCUCUUUAAAGAUUUUUUGGAUGGUGGUGCAUGGCCGUUCUUAGUUCGUGGAUUGAUUUGUCAGGUUGAUUCCGGUAACGGACGAGACCCCAACCUACUAACUAGCCCUGGUUGCUUCGCAGCCAGCAGUGCUUCUUAGAGGGACUCUCGGAAUGAAACCGAAGGAGGUGGGGCAAUAACAGGUCUGUGAUGCCCUUAGAUGUCCUGGGCCGCACGCGCGCUACACUGAUGCAUUCAACGAGCCUACCCUGUGCCGAGAGGUAUGGGUAAUCUGAGAAACUGCAUCGUGAUGGGGUUAGAUUAUUGCAAUUAUUGAUCUUCAACGAGGAAUGCCUAGUAAGCGCGAGUCAUCAACUCGCGUUGAUUACGUCCCUGCCGUUUGUACACACCGCCCGUCGCUCCUACCGAUUGGGUGUGCUGGUGAAAUGUUUCGGAUUGGUAGCCUUUCCGUAAGGGAGGCUCCUGAGAAGUUCAUUGAACCCUUUCAUCUAGA